Molecule: ribosomal RNA, 261 nt
Filed under: uncultured bacterium
Lineage: Bacteria
Description: partial 16S ribosomal RNA
Rfam family: Bacterial small subunit ribosomal RNA
Source: RNAcentral
GAUGAACGUUGGCGGCGUGCCUAACACAUGCAAGUCGAACGCUAGUAGCAAUAUUAGAGUGGCGCACGGGUGAGUAACACGUAGCUUAUCUACCUCCCAGCGCGGGAUAACGGUUCGAAAGAACUGCUAAUACCGCAUAAGCUCACGAGCUAUAGAGGCUGGUGAGAAAAGGCUUAGGUCACUGGGAGCGGGGGCUGCGGCCCAUCAGCUAGUUGGUGAGGUAACGGCUUACCAAGGCGACGACGGGUAGGGGACCUGAGA